CAGUUAACGAUGGAAGGCGUGCCGUAAUACAUGCACACUUGAGAAGUACGGACGGCGAACGCUUGAGUUAUCUUGAUGUUAGCGGCGGACGUGUGAGUAACAUGAGGAUAACAUACCUAUAAGACUUGGUAUAACUUCGUGAAGCAGGAGCUAAUACCGUAUAAUAUCAUGAGCCGCAUGGUUCAAAACUGAAAGUCGUUCUUCCUGUCACGAAUAGAUGGAUCCACGUUGCAUUAGCUAGUUGGUAAGGUAACGGCUCACCAAGGCAACGAUGCAUAGCUGAUCUGAGAGGAUGAUCAGCCACACUGGAACUGAGACACGGUCCAGACUCCUACGGGAGGCAGCAGUAGGGAAUAUUCCGCAAUGGGCGCAAGCCUGAUGCAGCCACGCCGCGUGAGUGAUGAAGGUCUUCGGAUCGUAAAACUCUGUUAUUAGGGAAGAAAUAUAUGUGUAAGUAUCCGUGCACAUCAUGACGGUACCUAAUCAGUAAGCCCCGGCUAACUUCGUGCCAGCAGCCGCGGUAAUACGUAGGUGGCAAGCGUUAUCCGGAAUUAUUGGGCGUAAAGCGCGCGUAGGCGGUUUUUUAAGUCUGAUGUGAAAGCCCACGGCUCAACCUGUGGAGGGUCAUUGGAAACUGGAAAACUAGAGUGCAGAAGAGGAAAGUGGAAUUCCAUGUGUAGCAGUGAAAUGCGCAGAGACAUGGAGGAACACCCAUGGCGAAGGCAACUUUCUGGUCCGUCACUGACGCUGAUGCGCGAAAGCGUGGGGAUCAAACAGGAUUAGAUACCCUGGUAGUCCACGCCGUAAACGAUGACGAGCUGAGAUGUUGGGUGCUUUCCGCGCACGUCUAGUAUCUGACAGCUAACGCAUUAAGUACUGCCGCCUUGGGAGUACGACUCGCAAGGAUUGAAACUCAAAGGAAUUGACGGGGGCCCGCACAAGCGGUGGAGCAUGUGGUUUAAUUCGAUGCAACGCGAAGAACCUUACCUGAUCUUGACAUCCUUUGAACUUUCCAGAGAUGGAUUGGUCCCCUUCGGGGGACAAAAUGACAGUGCUUGCAUGGUUGUCGUCAGCUCGUGUCUUGAGAUGUUGGGUUAAGUCCCGCAACGAGCGCCCCCUGUCCUUUAUUUGCCAUCAUUAAUGUGGGCAACUCUAGUUGACUGCCGGUGAACAACCGGAGGAAGGUGGGGAUGACGUCAAUCAUCAUGCCCCUUAUGAUUUGGGCUAACACUGCUACAAUGGACAAUAACAAAGGCCUGCAAACCGGCGAGGUCAAGCAAAUCCCCAUAAAAUUGUAUCUCAGUUCCGGAUUGUAAUCCUGCAACUCGACUACCAUGAAACUGGAAUCGCUAGUAAUCGUAGAUCAGCAUGCUACGCGUGAAUACGUUCCCGGGUCUUGUACACACCGCCCGUCACACCCA
RNAcentral lists this ribosomal RNA (1421 nucleotides) under bacterium. Its description in RNAcentral is "bacterial SSU rRNA". It matches the Rfam family "Bacterial small subunit ribosomal RNA". The record is from RNAcentral.